GCACUCGAAUCUUUCCCAUGCCUGCUGCCUGGUGCUAGUCUGGGGACAGACAGUGCUACACUAUGAGCAGAGAAUAUCCAGACGGGCUGCUUUUGAUUUUUGUCUUGGGGCCUGUCUCUACAGCUCUGCCAUAUUU
RNAcentral lists this small nucleolar RNA (136 nucleotides) under Nannospalax galili (Upper Galilee mountains blind mole rat). RNAcentral's name for it is "Small nucleolar RNA SNORA55 (ENSNGAG00000003544.1)". It matches the Rfam family "Small nucleolar RNA SNORA55". Rfam says of the family: ACA55 is a member of the H/ACA class of snoRNA that guide the sites of modification of uridines to pseudouridines. Lineage: Eukaryota; Metazoa; Chordata; Mammalia; Rodentia; Spalacidae. The record is from Rfam by way of RNAcentral.